Molecule: ribosomal RNA, 253 nt
Filed under: uncultured bacterium
Lineage: Bacteria
Description: partial 16S ribosomal RNA
Rfam family: Bacterial small subunit ribosomal RNA
Source: RNAcentral
UACGUAGGGUGCGAGCGUUAAUCGGAAUUACUGGGCGUAAAGCGUGCGCAGGCGGUUUUGUAAGCCAAAUGUGAAAUCCCCGGGCUUAACCUGGGAAUGGCAUUUGGGACUGCAAGGCUGGAGUGCGGCAGAGGAGACUGGAAUUCCUGGUGUAGCAGUGAAAUGCGUAGAUAUCAGGAGGAACACCGAUGGCGAAGGCAGGUCUCUGGGCUGACACUGACGCUCAUGCACGAAAGCGUGGGGAGCAAACAGG